AGUGAACGCCGGCGGUAGGCCUAACACAUGCAAGUCGAACGGCAGCACAGUAAGAGCUUGCUCUUACGGGUGGCGAGUGGCGGACGGGUGAGGAAUACAUCGGAAUCUACUUUUUCGUGGGGGAUAACGUAGGGAAACUUACGCUAAUACCGCAUACGACCUACGGGUGAAAGCAGGGGAUAUUCGGACCUUGCGCGAUUGAAUGAGCCGAUGUCGGAUUAGCUAGUUGGCGGGGUAAAGGCCCACCAAGGCGACGAUCCGUAGCUGGUCUGAGAGGAUGAUCAGCCACACUGGAACUGAGACACGGUCCAGCCUCCUACGGGAGGCAGCAGUGGGGAAUAUUGGACAAUGGGCGCAAGCCUGAUCCAGCCAUACCGCGUGGGUGAAGAAGGCCUUCGGGUUGUAAAGCCCUUUUGUUGGGAAAGAAAAGCAGCAGGUUAAUACCCCGCUGUUCUGACGGUACCCAAAGAAUAAGCACCGGCUAACUUCGUG
RNAcentral lists this ribosomal RNA (492 nucleotides) under uncultured bacterium. RNAcentral's name for it is "partial 16S ribosomal RNA". It matches the Rfam family "Bacterial small subunit ribosomal RNA", at positions 29 to 507 of the family's 1533-position model. The record is from RNAcentral.